Molecule: ribosomal RNA, 429 nt
Filed under: Pseudomonadota bacterium
Lineage: Bacteria; Pseudomonadati; Pseudomonadota
Description: Proteobacteria bacterium partial 16S ribosomal RNA
Rfam family: Bacterial small subunit ribosomal RNA
Source: RNAcentral
UGGGGAAUAUUGGACAAUGGGCGAAAGACUGAUCCAGCCAUGCCGCGUGUGUGAAGAAGGUCUUCGGAUUGUAAAGCACUCUAAGUUGGGAGGAAGGGCAGUAAGCGAAUACCUUGCUGUUUUGACGUUACCGACAGAAUAAGCACCGGCUAACUCUGUGCCAGCAGCCGCGGUAAUACAGAGGGUGCAAGCGUUAAUCGGAAUUACUGGGCGUAAAGCGCGCGUAGGUGGUUCGUUAAGUUGAAUGUGAAAGCCCCGGGCUCAACCUGGGAACUGCAUCCAAAACUGGCGAGCUAGAGUAGGGCAGAGGGUGGUGGAAUUUCCUGUGUAACGGUGAAAUGCGUAGAUAUAGGAAGGAACACCAGUGGCGAAGGCGACCACCUGGGCUCAUACUGACACUGAGGUGCGAAAGCGUGGGGAGCAAACAGG